RNAcentral lists this long non-coding RNA (227 nucleotides) under Cicer arietinum (chickpea). RNAcentral's name for it is "long non-coding RNA (CARI_LNC001056)". Lineage: Eukaryota; Viridiplantae; Streptophyta; Magnoliopsida; Fabales; Fabaceae. The record is from RNAcentral.
CUUUCUCUCGUCUUCGUUCAUUCUUGGAAUUGAAACAUUUUUUUAUAAAGAAAUUGAAACAUUUUUAAGUGUUCGUAUGUGAAACAAACACCGCCAAUUCCUUCUUCACUCGGUCUCAACUGUCAAUAGUGGUCAGCCCAAACUUGAUGGGGCUAUGAACUAGCUUAGGACAAAACAAAAUUAGAUUAAAUUUCUGAUCACGGUUUUUUAAGUACAAAGAUUUAUAA